Molecule: long non-coding RNA, 2015 nt
Filed under: Brassica rapa (field mustard)
Lineage: Eukaryota; Viridiplantae; Streptophyta; Magnoliopsida; Brassicales; Brassicaceae
Description: long non-coding RNA (BRAP_LNC004837)
Source: RNAcentral
UUGAACCUAGGGUUAUCUCAACAGCCGCUUCCAUCCUUGCGCUUCUCAAAACUUUUUUUUUCAUCGCUUCCUUUAGAUCUCGCUUCUAUGGCGGCGAAUCUUUUAUUUAUAGCUUCUGUUUGUAAUAGCGAGUCCUCCGAUCUACACAACGGUGUUGAUUUUCCAUCGAUUUAAUCGCUUCUAUGUCUUUCAUCGGUAGAUCUGAUGCAGAUCUCAUGAAAUCUAUACUUCCUCUAAGGGUAAAUCUUAUCUCAUGUCACCGUUUGUUUUUUACUUGAUUUUGGUUUCUGAUCACGUUUCUUUUUUACUCUGGUGUUAGAUCUGCCGGUGGGAUCAUCGCGUGAGGGGUGUCUAUUAUGCAAAUCGGUUGCGUUGAAGCGCGUUGAGGCUGAAUCGAAUUCGUUUAUGGACGUGAAGCUGUGUUCUUGUGUGGGUUAAGUUAAAAUUAGGAUGUAGAAGAUGUUGAAUUGCAUCUUUUGUCAUCCGACCUUUGCCAUGUCAGGUGCGCUUGCAUGGCAGGUCAAAAACAGAUCUUAAUAAAACAAUAUGUUUUGUGGUUGGGAGGGGAGUUCGCACGGGUGUUUUUUUUUUAUCCCGGGUUCUCCUCUUCCUGUGUGCGUGUCUUGCUCUCUGCGAAAUUUCACACUAUUUAUUAUUAUGCACCGUAACUCAACAGAUAGCCAUGAAACACUUAUAUCUCAUUCGACCUGGAGCUGUAACACUUUGCGCCAUUCAUGCCCCACCCAACAAGCAUGCGCUCGUAAGUAUGUUAUUUUUGAUAAUUUAGUCACUCAGAAUAAUAUCCAAUCACACCCAUGCAUAUUAACAAUCAUACGUACAUUAAUCAUUACUUCCGUCAUGAAUUUUACAAAUUCGUUGCCCAAAUUUAUUGGGCCAACUAGUUACUUUUCAUUCUAUUAUUUGUUUCUCUUUUUUGAGUGAAUUGACAAACCCUACUGAUCUAAAAGCUUUCUAUGCUGUAGACAGUAUUUUUUUAUUUAUAUUUCUAAGUUUAUAAGUAUCUGUUUGAUUUAUAUAGUUAGAGAACAUCACAAGAUUAUGUAUCCGAAAUUUGAUGGCUGAAGGGUGAGAAUGGGAUAUCAUAUUAGCUUGUGGAGCAAUACAUUGGAAGCUAUAGCGUGGAGCAGUGUGAAUACAACAGCUCUUUGUAGACUCAUCCUAUAAAGCUUAUUGUAAAUGAAGGUAUUAAAAUGCUGUGUGUACACAUUGAUUAAUUUCCUUAACAUAUAUCGAAGUGUAUCCAUUAUUACACUCCAUGUUUUCAUUUUGUUUUGAUGUGAAUAUAUUUUUGCCGAUAAUUCACUAAUAAAAUUGAUAUUAUUGUUUAAAAUUUCUUCUCCCAUGGUAGUUUUAUCUUUUCAAAUUUUUGUUCUGUCCGCAAGUGAAAGGUUACUUGAUCGUGUUGCUAAGUAUAUGAACAGUCUGUUUGUCUUGCCAUGAGCACAUUUUGAGUUUUCAAGAUUCGAUAAUAGAUCUGUAAGCUCAAAACGGGAGAGCGCUCUUCUUCUUUUGAAGUUGAGAGGUUGGUGGUUCGAGUCCACCCAGAUUUGCUCUAAUUUGCUUUUUAUUGUAAUUUCUAUGAAAUGUUCCAAUUCUUGUCAUUUCCCUGAUGGCCUGAUCUACUUAUUAAAUCGAUCGAUCAUUAAUCUCAUUUUUGGUAGCAACAGUGCAGCGUAUUUGAUGGACAACGUUUCUUCCAAUUUAUCGCUUCUUAGUAUUCUGUCUCUUCCCGACGAAAUAUUUGGAUUGUUAAACAGGACGUGGCCUGGAGUUUUGGUACAAGAGGACGUGGCCUAGAGUUCUGGUAUUUAAGUUAUACCUACUGCUUCACUACAACACGAAAUGAGUCAAGAGUCUCAUCGACUUAUCUUUACCUUUUAUCAGGACGAGUUGCAUUCAUUAUUGGGGAUGGUUUCUGUUAUAAAAGAAUGAACCAUAAUAACGUACUCCGGCAUUCAUUAUUGUAGUAGUAGGGCUUUAUACACUAAGCGAUG